This 1127-nucleotide small RNA is filed under the name Rattus norvegicus (Norway rat). RNAcentral describes it as "uncharacterized LOC108350739". The record is from RNAcentral. Lineage: Eukaryota; Metazoa; Chordata; Mammalia; Rodentia; Muridae.
UCCUCUAGACAACCCCAACUAAUGCACCCACUGUGGUUUUUAUUGAAGAAAGAGUCAUUCCUCCAGUCUCCCAGGGAUGCUCAAAGCUUCUUAUACAUUAGCAGUAAAGAUCUUUUGCUUUUUCCAUCAUUAAAAAAUUCUGCACAUCACGUUUCACUGUAAAGUGAGUGGCUCUGUCUACUUACUGCUAGAGAUACGGUUCCUGAAAGUAGGCCAAUACCAAGAAGACUCUUCAUGGAUUUACCGUGUCUUGCAUUCUCUUCAAAAGACCAAAAGAAGUCUGCCACGUUGUCUAAAAGUUGCCUGCACCCUCUGUGAAGAAGUAUUCAAAACCAUCACAACAUCUGCACUUCCUAACCUGCUUCUCCUUGAGAAAUCUAAUGGUGGUAAUGUGUCCAGGAGACAGCCCUAAGACUAGGCUGCUUUAUUCAGAACCACAGGAAAGAUGGGAACCUACUCCCAUCAAGAUCUACUAUUCUCAGUAAGAGUUCAGAUUUCUUUUAGGUUUUGGUGGUGGUGUUGUUGUUGUUGUUUUGCUCUGAAUUCAAAAGGUACAAGAAUGUUGAAAACAGACUCUCCCUAAAAUCUUCUCCACAUUCUCUUAAUGCCAGUGACCAACUCCAGGUCAUCUCCAGGCAGAUGCUGAAUACAUAACAGUAUGUGUACUACUGUUGUUCCGGGGAACACCAUGUUAGCCGAUACUGGUGCUAUUCAGACUCUUCGAGCUACAGCUGAUGUUUGGCUUGGGAUCUCCGCAUCUGUUUUCAACCGCUGUUGGAUGAAGCCCCUCAGAAGACAGUUUUGCUAGGCUCCUGAAGAUUUAAAGCCUUCGCUGCUCUGUAGCCAAAAGGUGGAUGCUGCAAUGCGUCAUGGGAAGAUGGCUUAUGGUUCAGAUGAAUUCACCAUAAUCCUGCAGAAACCUUACUCUUUAAUCCUCUAAUGACAAUGUCGCUAAACAGAAGCCACUGCUGCCAUCAUUAAUACAUCCACACAUGACCAAGCUAAGAAAUUCCAUUUGGAAACUUUGCAUCAGAAAAUGUCAGUUCCACUGAAUUUGAAGUGAGAUUGCUAUUUCAUUGUUCUUAUUGUUUUGUUUGGUUUGCUUUGUUUUGUUUUCUGAGACAAGG